GCUUUUCCUAAAAAGUUGAGAAUUUAGACCUGGACUUGGCUGAGCUGUUUUACUGAUUUUUGCAAGAGCAAGAAGAACUUUCAGAAAGGCACCAUCGGUCUUGAGCUGGAAGCCCGCCUUUUAGGUUUUGAAGAGAGAAGAGGUGGAGGAGGAUGUGUGCUCCAUGAAGACGUGUUCACAGACUCUAACUUGCUAUGGAGUGGCCAGAGGGCUCGACGAAGAUGCCAACUGCCUUCAGAUGUCUCCAGCUCCUAUCACGGCUGUGUGAAGCUAUAGGCUGUGGUAAAGACCAACCAGGGGAGAACAAGCAAAGGCCAUUUAUUCAGAGGCUGCUGUAUCAGGGGAGUCAGCCACCCACACAUGUCUUAUGGAAAGCUGCUUCUGCCCCAACCCUGUUUUAGCUAGUCUUCAGUUUAAUCUGAUAUCCGGUACCACCUCCUACCCCAUUUCUACCCAUCUUAGGUUCAUUGGCUGGGACGCCUGUGACAAAAGACAGAUUAACAAGAGAAAGGUACACAAAUUUAUUUAAUAUGUGUUAUGUGACACAGGAGCCUUCAAAAGGAAAUGAAGUUCUGAAGAAACAGCUAAACCUGAAUGGUUUUUGUCGUAGAUUUGAGAAGAAUGAAGCAUUGUGGGAAAAUAUGACAAAGUAAAGAAAAAGAAUG
Molecule: long non-coding RNA, 665 nt
Filed under: Homo sapiens (human)
Lineage: Eukaryota; Metazoa; Chordata; Mammalia; Primates; Hominidae
Description: HSALNT0388539
Source: RNAcentral